Molecule: ribosomal RNA, 385 nt
Filed under: uncultured Bacteroidota bacterium
Lineage: Bacteria; Pseudomonadati; Bacteroidota
Description: bacterial SSU rRNA
Rfam family: Bacterial small subunit ribosomal RNA
Source: RNAcentral
UGCCAUGACGUUAUGGAGGGAACUUUCAAGGAACUGCCGGUGAUAAGCCGGAGGAAGGUGGGGAUGACGUCAACUCCUUAUGGGCCUUACGGCCUGGGCUACACACCUGCUACAAUGGGAGGUACAGAGAGCAGCCAAUGCCUGAGCAUGAACCAAUCUAUAAAACCUAUCUUAGUUCGGAUCGGACUCUGUGACUGGACUCCGUGAAGCUGGAAUCGCUAGUAAUCGGAUAUCAGCCAUGAUGCGGUGAAUACCUUCCCGGGCCUUGUACACACCGCCCGUUAAGCCAUGGAAGUUGGGAGUGCCUGAAAUCCUUCACCGCAAGGAGCGGCCUAGGGUAAAAUCGAUUACUAGGGCUAAUUCCUAACAAGGUAGCCGUAAACGA